RNAcentral lists this ribosomal RNA (253 nucleotides) under uncultured bacterium. RNAcentral describes it as "partial 16S ribosomal RNA". It matches the Rfam family "Bacterial small subunit ribosomal RNA", at positions 524 to 776 of the family's 1533-position model. The record is from RNAcentral.
UACGUAGGGUGCGAGCGUUAAUCGGAAUUACUGGGCGUAAAGCGUGCGUAGGCGGCUAUGUAAGACAGAUGUGAAAUCCCUGGGCUUAACCUAGGAACUGCAUUUGUGACUGCAUUGCUAGAGUGUGGUAGAGGGAGAUGGAAUUCCGCGCGUAGCAGUGAAAUGCGUAGAUAUGCGGAGGAACACCAAUGGCGAAGGCAAUCUCCUGGACCUGCACUGACGCUCAUGCACGAAAGCGUGGGGAGCAAACAGG